Molecule: ribosomal RNA, 475 nt
Filed under: uncultured bacterium
Lineage: Bacteria
Description: SSU rRNA
Rfam family: Bacterial small subunit ribosomal RNA
Source: RNAcentral
AGAAUCAACGCUGGCGGCGUGCCUAACACAUGCAAGUCGAACGAGAAAGUGGAGCAAUCCAUGAGUAAAGUGGCGACCGGGUGAGUAACACGUGACCAAUCUACCCUUGAGUGGGGGAUAACCUCGUGAAACCGGGGCUAAUACCGCAUAAUAUCCUUGGAACGGAAGUACUGGGGAUCAAAGGAGCAAUUCGCUUAAGGAGGAGGUCGCGGCUGAUUAGCUAGUUGGCGGGGUAAUGGCCCACCAAGGCUUAGAUCGGUAGCCGGCCUGAGAGGGCGCACGGCCACACUGGAACUGAAACACGGUCCAGACUCCUACGGGAGGCAGCAGUGGGGAAUUUUGCGCAAUGGGGGAACCCUGACGCAGCAACGCCGCGUGGAGGAUGAAGUCCCUUGGGACGUAAACUCCUUUCGAUCGGGACGAUUAUGACGGUACCGGAAGAAGAAGCACCGGCUAACUCUGCGCCAGCAGCCGC